Molecule: ribosomal RNA, 300 nt
Filed under: Prochlorococcus marinus str. MIT 9311
Lineage: Bacteria; Bacillati; Cyanobacteriota; Cyanophyceae; Synechococcales; Prochlorococcaceae
Description: partial 16S ribosomal RNA
Rfam family: Bacterial small subunit ribosomal RNA
Source: RNAcentral
ACGGACAAAGGGCAGCANACUCGCAAGAGCUAGCAAAUCCCAUAAACCGUGGCUCAGUUCAGAUCGUAGGCUGCAACUCGCCUACGUGAAGUAGGAAUCGCUAGUAAUCGCAGGUCAGCAUACUGCGGUGAAUACGUUCCCGGGCCUUGUACACACCGCCCGUCACACCAUGGAAGUUGGCCAUGCCCGAAGUCGUUACUCCAACCCUUGUGGAGGAGGACGCCGAAGGUGGGGCUAAUGACUGGGGUGAAGUCGUAACAAGGUAGCCGUACCGGAAGGUGCGGCUGGAUCACCUCCUAA